RNAcentral lists this ribosomal RNA (611 nucleotides) under Serratia ureilytica. RNAcentral describes it as "partial 23S ribosomal RNA". It matches the Rfam family "Bacterial large subunit ribosomal RNA", at positions 1 to 652 of the family's 2925-position model. Lineage: Bacteria; Pseudomonadati; Pseudomonadota; Gammaproteobacteria; Enterobacterales; Yersiniaceae. The record is from RNAcentral.
GGUUAAGUGACUAAGCGUACACGGUGGAUGCCUAGGCAGUCAGAGGCGAUGAAGGGCGUGCUAAUCUGCGAAAAGCGUCGGUAAGGUGAUAUGAACCGUUAUAACCGGCGAUACCCGAAUGGGGAAACCCAGUGUGUUUCGACACACUAUCAUGUCAUGAAUACAUAGUGGCAUGAGGCGAACCGGGGGAACUGAAACAUCUAAGUACCCCGAGGAAAAGAAAUCAACCGAGAUUCCCCCAGUAGCGGCGAGCGAACGGGGAGGAGCCCAGAACCUGAAUCGGCUUGUGUGUUAGUGGAAGCGUCUGGAAAGUCGCGCAGUAAAGGGUGAUAGCCCCGUACACUAAAAUGCACAGGUCGUGAGUUCGAUGAGUAGGGCGGGACACGUGACAUCCUGUCUGAAUAUGGGGGGACCAUCCUCCAAGGCUAAAUACUCCUGACUGACCGAUAGUGAACCAGUACCGUGAGGGAAAGGCGAAAAGAACCCCGGCGAGGGGAGUGAAAUAGAACCUGAAACCGUGUACGUACAAGCAGUGGGAGCACCUUCGUGGUGUGACUGCGUACCUUUUGUAUAAUGGGUCAGCGACUUAUAUUUUGUAGCAAGGUUAACCG